This 253-nucleotide ribosomal RNA is filed under the name uncultured bacterium. RNAcentral's name for it is "partial 16S ribosomal RNA". It matches the Rfam family "Bacterial small subunit ribosomal RNA", at positions 524 to 776 of the family's 1533-position model. The record is from RNAcentral.
UACGUAGGGGGCUAGCGUUGUCCGGAAUCAUUGGGCGUAAAGAGCGUGUAGGCGGCCCGGUAAGUCCGCUGUGAAAGUCGGGGGCUCAACCCUCGAAUGCCGGUGGAUACUGUCGGGCUAGAGUGCGGAAGAGGCGAGUGGAAUUCCUGGUGUAGCGGUGAAAUGCGCAGAUAUCAGGAGGAACACCAAGUGCGAAGGCAGCUCGCUGGGACGUCACUGACGCUGAGACGCGAAAGCGUGGGGAGCAAACAGG